RNAcentral lists this ribosomal RNA (253 nucleotides) under uncultured bacterium. RNAcentral describes it as "partial 16S ribosomal RNA". It matches the Rfam family "Bacterial small subunit ribosomal RNA", at positions 524 to 776 of the family's 1533-position model. The record is from RNAcentral.
UACGUAGGGGGCUAGCGUUGUCCGGAAUCAUUGGGCGUAAAGCGCGCGUAGGCGGCCCGGUAAGUCCGCUGUGAAAGUCAAAGGCUCAACCUUUGAAUGUCAGCGGAUACUGCCGGGCUAGAGUCCGGAAGAGGCGAGUGGAAUUCCUGGUGUAGCGGUGGAAUGCGCAGAUAUCAGGAGGAACACCAACGGCGAAGGCAGCUCGCUGGGACGGUACUGACGCUGAGGCGCGAAAGCGUGGGGAGCGAGCAGG